RNAcentral lists this long non-coding RNA (6474 nucleotides) under Sus scrofa (pig). RNAcentral's name for it is "lncRNA (ENSSSCG00040023220.1)". The record is from RNAcentral. Lineage: Eukaryota; Metazoa; Chordata; Mammalia; Artiodactyla; Suidae.
AACCCACUGAGCAAGGCCAGGGAUCUAACCCUCAACCUCAUGGUUCCUAGUCGGAUUCGUUAACCACUGUGCCACAACGGGAACUUCCCCUUUAGGUUUUUUUCAGAGGAAAAUGUGUAUCUUCAUUGUGUCUCCUUAGAGUUUGUAUUAAUCAUUUCACUUUUUAUGGAAGUAACUUUAUAUACAUUAGCAGUCAUCAUUCAGAGCUUGAUGGAAUGUAUAGUGGUAGUAUUCCAUAGUCCGUCUUUUUUUUCAGAGCUAAUUCUGUUAUUUUUUAAAAUCAUGCACAUUUGAUAUGGUCGUCUGAGGAAGAGGAUUUGUAUAAAUGCCUGCAGUAGAGAUGUCUCAGUCCCAGUUGCUACGAAGAUCUCUCUGGUGUCUAAAUUUAAGUCAUUCAUAUUUCACUUAUGCCUAAUCUGUCUCUGUCUCGCCUUCCUUUCUCAGGCUAGGGGUCAAUUUGGAGCUGUAGCUGCCAGUCUACACCACAGCCACAGCAAUCCCAGAUCCAAGCCCCAUCUUCGACCUACACCAUAGCUCACGGCAAUGCUGGAUCAUUAACCCACUGGGCAAGGCCAGGGAAUGAACCCUUGUCCUCAUGGAUACUAGUCAGGUUCGUUAACUGCUGAGACACAACGGGAACUCCUAUUGUCUUCUUCUCUGGUCAUAUCUGACUGGUUUCCAAGGCCUGUAAGCAGGCCAGGCGAGCUACUGCAGGUCCGCCUUGGGAGUUGAGAGAAGGACUGAUAAGAACUCUUACAGUGCUGAGCAAGAUGGCCCACCUUCCCUGCUUCUGUUCUGUCAGUUGGGCGUGUUCUUUCUUCAUCAUCCUCUUUCAUUUCUCUGCCACACCUACCCAGUUCAGCUUGAUUUACCUUCAUUCCUAUUGCUUCUGAACAUUGGACCAUGGAGACGGUGUGGUUGGGAGUAGAGAACCCACGGUUUGGAACAGAAGGAUUUGCAUUCUGCUGCCAGCUGGGGACCCUUGGCCAAGUCCACAGCCUCCUUUCAGCUGCAGCCUCCAGAGGCCUGGGCACCCUUGAACACUUGUUGCAAUCCUAACACAUUCACUUUAGUGUUUUUGUCACUUACUGACUUUUACGGUCAUCACUGUCACUUUGACUGCAGAAACGCAUCCUGUGUCUCCCUUGGGCUCCUCACCGGCAUGUACAUUCGCCAUCUCCAUUUAACUCCUUCUGUUGCCUAGGGGGUCAGCCAACUAGCUGGCUUGUUAUUUUAGGAUUGGGGAACGAAGGCAAAGGUUUAUUCUCAAGAAACGAUGCCGUGAAGGAAUGUGGCUGAUACAGGGUCCUAUGUAGGGAGAUGCUGUUUUCUGUUAGUCUUCGGCUGGAACUAAAGCAAUUAACCAGAAGACAACACAGCACUUUGGAGAUAAGAGCAGAGGCCCUGCGUGUCAUGAGUCGGGCACGAGCAUGUUUCCUUUCAUAUGUGCACAUGGACAGUGCCAGCUUCACAAUUCAGAACAGGGAGUCAACUCCGAAGUGUGUCGGGUUUAUUGCCUUUCACCUCUUAUCUCCAGAAAAGACAGCAUAUGGCCCUGUUUUUGUACACGCCUGCUGUGACAAUUCCUUCUGUCAAAAAUGAUUUUCUCCAGAAGGAUAGUAUGUAAAUUCUUGGCCGAUCAUUCCCAAAAGAAAGGGAAUAGUGUCGGUUAAGUAGCAUUCCUGAAAACACUGCUUUGACAUGUGAAAGAGGAAUUAACAACCGCAUUUAAGUGUGGACGCUCUGUGUUUUUAAUGAUAUUAAGAAAACACAGUUUUAUAAACAGUAAAGAAUGCUUUCUUCCUGAACUGCUUCCCUUGACUUGAGAGUUGUGGGAUUUUCUUUGUUUGUUUGUUGCUGUUGUUUUUGCUUUUAGUAGAGUUUCCUAUUCCAGAGGGGAAGGGGAAAGUGUCAGAUAGAUUUGGACGGCAGUUAUUUGUGAAAUCAGCUUAAAGGGAAGACUGGGUUCUGUCUUGCGUGAUAUUGGAAUUUGCCAUAAUAAACCAUCACCCAGUUUUGAGGAUUAACGCUGCAGGAUGUCUUAUUUGUAUGAUUGUUCCGUGUCUAGCUUCUCAUAUUAUUUAUUAUUAUAAUAUUUAGAAGGAGACGUGGAAACUAACAACAUUACAAAUCAACUAUACUGCAAUUAAAAAAAACUACAACGGAAGGAGAUGCGGCCACGGAGUUCCACUUUAAGUUUUCGUUAUGUUCAAUAAACCUUUCUCCUUAAAUCCUUCCCGAACCGUGUGAGGAGGAGGAAAGCAUUACUCUUUCCUUCUAAAUAAGUAGGAACUCCCUCCACUUAAAAUUAGAUGGUGCACCAUUAUUUAUUUAUUUAUCAGUUCUUUGUAAAUUGGUAAAACUUCUUUCCUUCAUAACUGUUAAAAAACUACACUAAAGGCUACUUAGGGUCACAGGCCUGUCUGCCAGAAUUUAUCUGUUUGGCUGCCUAGGAAUCUUGUUUCUAUGGAAAUUUUUCUUAAUUUGUAUUGGGCAUUUCAAGAGUGAACUUUCUCUUUUGCCCCUUAUUAGCUCCAAUCAGGAGCUUGUAGAUACAGUACUUAUGUCAUUAGCAGUGUAAUUAUUUUCCCAUUGUUUGGUGGCCAUGGUUCAGAUGCAGGUUUAAUAAGAUUUGUCAGACUGCUUUUAGUACUGGACAACUGGUGCUGCCCUGUUGUCAAAGUAUUGUUUAAUACUUAAUGUUUAACACAAAUCCAGCCUGUCGAAGGAUAACUGGACUUGGGUUUCAUUAUUUUGCAUUUCUUUUCUUCCUUUUUUGUAUAGGGCCUAACCUGUGGCAUAUGGAAGUUCCGAGGCUAGGGCUCGAAUCAGAGCUGUAGCUGCUGGCCUACACCACAGCCACAGCAAAGUCAGAUCUAUGUUGCGUCUUCGACCUACACCACAGCUCAUGGUCCUUAACCCACUGAGUGAGGCCAGGGAUCGAACCCACAUCCUCAUGGAUACCAUUUGGGUUUGUUCCACUGAGCCACGAUGAUAACUCCCAUUCUGCAUUUCUUUUUUCUUUCUUUUCUUUCUUUUUUUUUUUUUUUUUUGUCUUUUUUGCCAUUUCUUGGGCUGCUCCCACGGCAUAUGGAGGUUCCCAGGCUAGGGGUCAAAUCGGAGCUGUAGCCACAGGCCUACACCAGAGCCACAGCAACGCGGGAUCCUUAACCCACUGAGCAAGGCCAGGGAUUGAACCGGCAACCUCAUGGUUCUUAGUCAGAUUCGUUAACCACUGAGCCACGACAGGAACUCCUAUUCUGCAUUUUUUACAGGUCAGGUAAAUGGAAUUCUGUAACUGGGAAGAGAGGGAAGCUUUUAACACAUUUAUUUAAACAUUACUCUUAGCUCUAGUAAUUUGGGUAAAGCUGUUCUGUUCUAAUCAGAAUCUGGUUUUAUUAAAAGUACCCCUCAGGUUUUUGCAAAGCAAGGUUCACAUCAAUAGAAAAUGGCUGGUUAAAAUCUUCUAAGUCAUCUGACUAAUGCAAAAAUAUUAUCAUAGAAUACACUAGAAUUUGUAAUUUUGUUAAUGAGGUUUGUAUAUAUCAGGCACACACAAGUGCGUUUUGAGAAAGUAAACUUGAUUUUCUGAAAUUCCCCAUUGGCGGGUGCCAUGUUUGGUAAAAGGACACAAAUGUGUGUUUUGAGCAGCUGCUUUGUUAAAAGGUGAGCCCCAGUCUGUCAGGGUGAGUUAGGAUUGGCCAGGACUCAAGGGUCUGUGAUUACAUUUCAUCUGUUUGCUGUCUCAACAGAUGGAUCUGCUACUUUGUGAAUUUGUAAUUUGUCCUUCAGCAAUGACUAGAUACACCAAGGACUGUGGGUUCCAUUGACCAGAAAGAGUUAAUGAUGCUUUUCAGUAGGAUGUUAUGUUUCCCAUAGUAGUUUUUAAAUUUAUGGAUCAAACUUUUUCAGAUCUUUGGAAGUUGUCUCAAAAGCUUGAUCCAAGGAAAAUGAGGCCAUUUGUCUUUCCAGGGGUUUCCAUCUCCUCUCAACACCUAAGUGUUAAUGGGAUAAGUAAAAAUGGUUUUCACUUCUUAAAACCUUCAGGCUAUCAUGUGGAGGGGGUCAAAAAUGGAAAGGUUACAGCUUCCUCUGUCUACCAGGUUUUGUUAUGGAAACUGUUCACCAGAUAAUUGGGUUUAAUUUGAAACAGAGGAGAAGAUUUGUAUUGUAAACAAGAAAGUUCUUUGAAGAUAAAUCUUGUCGGUAGCUGUUGGAAGGAUGUUGGAGGAAGCCUUGAAUUUUUUUUUUUUUUUUAAUGGCCUGGAGUGAGAGAGGGUGUUUUGUUGGCUUUUUUUUUUUUCCCACCCCCUUCCCUUGCUUUUUUUGCUAGACUGCAAAGUGUUAGUGGGGCUGGAAGGUGAUAAUUAGUAGUCUUCACCUGAUUUUUUUUUUUUUUUGCAAGCAGACUAAUUAAAAUGUAUAACAACUUUCACUUUUUCCUCCAAAAGGGAAACAUACUUCUUUUGACAGCUGCCUUUCUGACCCUCAGCACUCCUCUCUGCAACCUUCUUUGUUUUAUUGACUGAGUCUUUACACAAUUGAGAAAAACUCUAAUAUGCUUAUUUGUAACUCUUAAAGUGUUAGGAGAAGGACUCCCAUUUGUAAAUGCAAGGUUUGUACCAAGAUUAUACGCCUGUGAAGUCAUUUAUUCAGCAAUUCUCCUGGUUUUUACCUGGGGCUUUUUCUUACUUAGUCUUGUGUCAUUUUAAGUGCCUUAGAAAAUAGUGUUUCUAUGGUCCUCCAUGUUACAACAAUAUAUCACUGAUUCAGUGGUUUCUGUGUUAAUAUGCAUACCAUCUCUCAUUCCAGACUUUACUAUCACACCAAGAACCAACUCAUUUGUCAACAUUUUCGACACAAUAUCUGUAGGUGUUGAUGGGUAGUAGAUGUGUGUGUAGGUUCAUAUUUUAAAUUUUAGGUGCCUCCCUUCAAAUAAUAUAUUAUUCCGGAUUAGCUUUGAUUUUAUAGUCUAAAGUGGUGCUAGAUUUUUAUGAGACAGUCACUACAGUAAAUGUACUACAGUAGAACAUUCUAGAACAUGCAGCUUUUUGUUGUCAAACUUGUGGGGUAGUUUUACUCUUCAAGAUUUUCACCAUCUCAGAAAAUAUUUGGCAUGGAAUUGGUAACAUGUGCUAAGUUUUUGUGUGUGUGUGUGUGUGCAUGCAUGUGUAUGCACACAUGUUUCUAAUCAAUGCCUCUUUGUACAUAACUUUGACUUUUGUACUUACAUUCAAAAUGAUUUUGGGAGUUCCCCAUCGUAGCUCAGUGGUAAUGAACCUGACUAGUAUCCAUGAGAACUCUGGUUCGAUCCCUGGCCUCUCUCGGGGGCUUAAGGAUCCUGCAUUGCCAUGAGCUGUGGUGUAAGUCGCAGAUGUGGCUGGGGUCUGGCGUUGCUGUGGCUGUGGCAUAGGCCAGCAGCUGCAGCUCCGAUUAGACCCCUUGCCUAGGAACUUCCAUAUGCCGAGGGUGUGGCCCUAAAAAGACAAACAACAAAAACCAAAAUAAUUUUCACUAAAUAUUUCUGUAGCUAAAGUGUAAAAAGUUAUCACAUGUUAACUGUGAUAUGAUUAAUGCAGAGAUGCUAAAGCUAAAUUAUAAAUUGUUAUAAGGACUUGAUUUUGCUUUUUUAAAAUGCGUGAUAUGUAAGAUACUUAACAUUCUCUAGGAAAAAGAAUAGUUUAAUUAAGCCAGAAACAAGAGUCUCUGAAAGUCAGAAACAGAUGAUUAGCUCAUUCUGUGGACUUCUUCACUGCUUAGUACUUCGAAGUUACACAAUUUUUUGAAAAUUUAUAACUAGUAUAUAAUUUAUAUAGAUAAUAUUUUUCUUCCUCAGAUGAAAAAAAUAAGUUCAAGACACCUAUCUAGCAAGAAGAAAAAACCUGCCAGUAGGUUGAUGCUCAUAAGACAUGUAGAACACUUUCUAGCCCCCGAUUUGCUCAUGGUGACUGACUGCUGGCAGGAAAUAAACAUUUUUAAGAACCUCACCUUCAAAAUCUCAGAGUCGAGAACUUGGUGAAUAAGCCCUGUGAGUAAAUAGCAUGAAGAUAUUCAAGAGAAAGUGUUCUACUCAUUUCCCAUUUUUUACAAACAUUCAGUUAUGGCUUUUUGCAAUAGAUCCUCAAUUACGUGGUGGAAUAGGGUUUGUAAAAUUUUUUUUUCUAGUUAAUUACAGUCAUACAGGGGUUAACCAGGAACCUAUUUAUAUUCAAGCUCUCUAUUUUUAAACAUUUUUCUAAAAUGUGUUAGGAAACUUUGGCUAUUAUAACACCAAUAAGGAAUGUGAUUCAUUAAGGACAGUGCAUUGACCUGGGUGAAGAUUUUUUUGAAUUUGAAGUUUCAUUUUAGAGGUCUGUGACACAGGCCAUGCCCCAGAAGUUAGAGGAGAGCAGAAAAGUUUUAUCAAAUGACUGAUAUGAAUUUGUUCUGAUGUCAAAUUGAAUUUUUCCUCUAAGUUUAGAGUAAAAAAAAAAA